AGUAGUUUGAUCAUGGCUCAGGAUGAACGCUGGCGGCGUGCUUAACACAUGCAAGUCGAACGAGGUUAAUUGAGCGGAUUACUUCGGUAUGAAGCACUUUUAACUGAGUGGCGGACGGGUGAGUAACGCGUGGGUAACCUGCCGUAUGCAGGGGGACAACAGUUGGAAACGACUGCUAAUACCGCAUAACCCGCUAGUACCGCAUGGUACAGACGGAAAAGAUUUAUCGGCAUACGAUGGACCCGCGUCUGAUUAGCUUGUUGGUGAGGUAACGGCCCACCAAGGCGACGAUCAGUAGCCGAACUGAGAGGUUGACCGGCCACAUUGGGACUGAGACACGGCCCAGACUCC
RNAcentral lists this ribosomal RNA (351 nucleotides) under uncultured Lachnospiraceae bacterium. Its description in RNAcentral is "bacterial SSU rRNA". It matches the Rfam family "Bacterial small subunit ribosomal RNA", at positions 1 to 339 of the family's 1533-position model. The record is from RNAcentral. Lineage: Bacteria; Bacillati; Bacillota; Clostridia; Lachnospirales; Lachnospiraceae.